AGCCUAAUGGCCUAAUGGAUAAGGCGCCUGACUUGGAUCAGAAGAUUGAGGGUUCGAGUCCCCGUUGGUCAA
This 72-nucleotide transfer RNA is filed under the name Alosa alosa (allis shad). RNAcentral's name for it is "tRNA-OTHER". It matches the Rfam family "tRNA". Rfam says of the family: Transfer RNA (tRNA) molecules are approximately 80 nucleotides in length. Their secondary structure includes four short double-helical elements and three loops (D, anti-codon, and T loops). The record is from RNAcentral. Lineage: Eukaryota; Metazoa; Chordata; Actinopteri; Clupeiformes; Clupeidae.